This 305-nucleotide ribosomal RNA is filed under the name uncultured bacterium. Its description in RNAcentral is "bacterial SSU rRNA". It matches the Rfam family "Bacterial small subunit ribosomal RNA", at positions 336 to 658 of the family's 1533-position model. The record is from RNAcentral.
UUCCUACGGGGGGCAGCAGUGGGGAAUAUUGCACAAUGGGCGAAAGCCUGAUGCAGCGACGCCGCGUGAGUGAAGAAGUAUUUCGGUAUGUAAAGCUCUAUCAGCAGGGAAGAAAAUGACGGUACCUGACUAAGAAGCCCCGGCUAACUACGUGCCAGCAGCCGCGGUAAUACGGAGGAUCCGAGCGUUAUCCGGAUUUAUUGGGUGUAAAGGGUGCGUAGACGGGAAAACAAGUUAGUUGUGAAAUCCCUCGGCUUAACUGAGGAACUGCAACUAAAACUAUUUUUCUUGAGUGUUGGAGAGGA